AGCAUGUGGUUAAUUCGACGCAACGCGAAGAACCUUACCAGGGCUUGACAUCCCCUGACCGCGUAUGAAAGUACGUUUUCACCCUCGGGUGACAGGGAGACAGGUGGUGCAUGGUUGUCGUCAGCUCGUGUCGUGAGAUGUUGGGUUAAGUCCCGCAACGAGCGCAACCCCUACGUUUAGUUGCUAACGCGUGAAGGCGAGCACUCUAGACGAACUGCCGUUGACAAAACGGAGGAAGGUGGGGAUGACGUCAAAUCAUCAUGCCCCUUAUGUUCUGGGCUACACACGUGCUACAAUGGCCGGUACAGACGGAGGCGAAGCCGCGAGGCGGAGCAAAUCCUAAAAAGCCGGUCUCAGUUCGGAUUGCAGGCUGCAAUUCGCCUGCAUGAAGUCGGAAUCGCUAGUAAUCGCAGGUCAGCAUACUGCGGUGAAUACGUUCCCGGGCCUU
This 448-nucleotide ribosomal RNA is filed under the name uncultured Pelotomaculum sp. RNAcentral's name for it is "bacterial SSU rRNA". It matches the Rfam family "Bacterial small subunit ribosomal RNA", at positions 936 to 1382 of the family's 1533-position model. The record is from RNAcentral. Lineage: Bacteria; Bacillati; Bacillota; Clostridia; Eubacteriales; Desulfotomaculaceae.